GGAAUUACCUACUGUAUCACUCUAUCUAACACAAAGUCAUUUUGAUGUUAAGUGAAAGCAGAAAAUUGACACAAUCAAAAUUGUGACUCCAUUACAAAAACCGGACAUGAGUAAGAGAGACUGCAAAGGCCUUGCAGGACUUUCUAUGAUUUUCAACAAUAGAAAUGCUAGGAAAACCACAGAGGAGGCUUAUGAGUGUGCCACAUACAGAUGAUGCUUCGCCUACUCGUGAGCAGGCUUCAAAAUGAAAAGGAAGCAGAGGGGCUGCUGUGAAGAGGAACGUGGGUCUAUCACACAGACCAAGGUGUGCAAAACUUCUGACAUGCCCCCCCAAAAAGCAGCAGUUGCCCCUCCAGAGCUGCUGUCAUGCUCCUCACAUCACUGCUGGGGUUGGCUUCUCCCCAGAGAAGGCAGCUGUGGGGCAGUAAACCUUUUAUGGCCCAGAAAGCACGCAGAAGGCUGGGAAGCACCUGGCAAGGGCCUGCUCCUCUGCAGCAAGUCAGUGCUAUGAACUGGUAGAUGACUGACCACUGUUCCUGGGUGCAGGACAGUGGGACACCAUUUCCUAAACCUGCAGGAAGUAUUCCUGCUUUCUUGUGGGAAGAUGCAACUGAGCACUGCUGCCUCAGAAGCACUUGAAUGGUCACUUGGACUUGCCAGGUGUGCAACCAGACCACAUACAAGUCAAUUUGAAGAAUCAAAAACCAGAAUGGUAAAUAAGGAGCUUUUUGCCCACAGCAGGGGUGUUGGAACUAGAUGAUCUUAGGGUCUUUUCCAACCGUAACCAUUCUAUGAUUGAAUGUUUUUUUUUUACUCCAGCUAGAUACUGUCCUCUACUGUAUUAACCAAACCUGAAAAACUGCUCUACCGUAGCACUGGAAGUGUACCUGUGCUAUAAUUUGUCCCUGUUACAAAUGACAGUGUCAGUAUGGAAGGCUCUCAUUUAAGUAGUGGCAUAUCACACACAGCCAGUUUAUGUAUGCAUGCAAUAUUACAGCCUCAUUAAACAACAGAUUUCACUGCUCCUGUCAGCAAGUGCUUAAUAUAGUACUGUUACCCUGCAUUCCAAAAGGAAAACAAUUGUAGCCAAAAAAUUGUAAAUGCAAUCGAAUGUCUUAGUUGCAGGAUCACCACGGCUGUGAGAUAGUUGGGUGUCAGAUAUCCUUUCAUGGCUGGAUUUGCUUAGGAAUCUCUGAACAAUCCAAAGAGCAAUCAGAUACCACUUCUGCUCCCCUAGUUUGAAGUGAUUUUGGCAUUACAUGUUGAGCUUUUCUGAGCAGCAGCCCAUUUAACACUAGAAUGUACAGCAGCAUGCAUUUUGAAACAUCAGUUACUGAAUAUAGAUAUGGAGUAUAUAAGAUUACAAAAUACAUCAGCAUAUAUCUAUGUAAGAACAGCAGAGCUUCUUCCAUUUAUAGCAGUAAAUAUGGUAUUAUAUUUCUAGGAUAAGAAAAUGGAAAACCAAGAAUAGAUUACUUGAGAAAGCUUAAAUUACACAUGAUUUUUAUCUUCAUCAGUAGGUUGCAAUUUAUCUGCUCACUUACUCCAUGUGAUUCUGGAGAUGAAAUCUCCAUAGGUAAUUUUUUUGCCACGUAAGAUAUUUUUGUGUAAUUUUUUUUUAAUGCACAAGGGUGAAUUCUGUUCAAAUUUCCUUUACAUGAUUAAAAAACAAAUUAGUGCAGAAGUUAGAAAAAAUUAGAGUGAUGCUGAGAACAGGGAAGCAGAAAGUUCAAGACAUGGUAAGCUGUGGGCUAGUGGAGCUAUGCAAAGGAGCCAAAAGUCUGCUGCCUUGAAGAGCCUUCAACCCAGAAGGAGCUGGGAGCAGCGCUGUGCACAGAGAAGCAGUAGAACAAAAGUAGAGUAGGGCACACCUGCACCACAACCCAUUCCCAGCUGCUAUAUAAAUACAUUGGAGAACAGGAGCCACUCUUGAAUCAGAGCUGAUGUGACACAUAAAUCAAGGGUGAAAAUUUAAAAGCAUCUAUGUACCUUCCUGAUAUGCAAGAUGACUUGAUUACAAUUUCAGGGUAUUUUUAAUGCUAUAGUCUGCAGUGUACAUCUAUCCUAAAAAGCAAGUGUCUCCAGUGUCUAUAGGAACUUGGUCAUCUUCUGUCUUUUUUAGCUCUCUAGUCUAAAUACUGGGUUUUUUCCCCAGUGGGUUUAGGGUUUUUUUCCCCUUUUUAUAUAUACAGGGACAAAAGGUCAUACACAGCAGCCUUCAGGACAAUGCCUGUGUGUAUGUAUAUGCUCUUAUUAGCAACAUGCUGCAGUGCCUCAGAGAUGUUCUUUGACAGUUGUACACCUCUGGAAUGAGCAUUACUUAUACACCUGGUGUAAGAUACAUAAGAUGCAGUCUUGUACCCUGGUUACUUCCACCCUGCACAAAAUACCUACCCUGAGAACCACAUAACUUCUGUGCCACACCAGCAGAGGCAUGAGAAGGAACUUUAUGUCACGGGGCUGAGAGCAUGAGGAAAAGCCUAAGAUCAGCACUGAGAUAAAGUAAGUGCCUCAACCCUUUCGCCCCCUACUCCCCUGCCCCGCACUGGGGCACACAAUGUCUUUCUUGAAUACAGGGGUAUUUUCUGACAUAUCAACAGGUUUAACACCUUGAAUUUCAAAGGCUGUCCUGCUGAACCAAACUAAGGGCUGUUUAGCUCUUUCACAGGAAACCUUUGAAUAGCAGGAGUGCAGUAUUUUUCACAUUCUUCAACUAUUGUAUUUAUAAUCCACAAAAUUACUAUAACUAGCAUCCUCCUAUACAGUAUUCAAUAAAUCAGUAGUUUUACAAACCAAAAUUCAACAGUACAGGCUUUUUAAAAUUCAUUUCAGACACUCAGAUUAGAUACCAGACUUUGUGUCUUGGUGAAGCACAUGAGUCGAGGAUUAAAAUUUUUUAAUAAUACAUGGAAAUUGCAUGAUUCUUGUAUUAUGAAACACAGUAUAAUAUUCUAGCUUCCUGAGGUUCCACACAGGCAAUUUGUUAUUUCUGAUACCAAUUAAUCAAACUUAAAUACAGACUCUAUAAAGCAAUGCAAAUUCAGACAUCCUGCCUCACUUGAGCACACCUGCAAGUUGAUAUCACUCAUAUAUAUGCUUCUUGAGUGUGACAGCUAGAUCAGAAUUACAUAGGGUACUGUAGAAUUCUGCCACCUUUUUCUGACACUCUGUUCAGAAAAAUACAAUUCUUAGAGAAAACAAGCUUUUGAAAUAGGUUUAUUUUUGAAAUAAAAAUUCAUAUUUCAUAUUAAACCAGUAACCUUUUUCUGUACAAGCAGCAUAAGCAAGGUAGGUGACAGAGACUGUAGAACAGGCCCUGGCAAGUACAGAAUGGUAUCAUUUGAGCAAUCUAUUCAGAAAAGAUUAAUAAAAAACCCCCAAAAACAAAACAAUACUACUUGUAACUGUCACACCACCACCAUCAUUAAGAACAAUUAUAAGGAAGGAAACAAGGAAGAAAGCCAGUCUUGUAUUUGUCCUGAGCACAAAAGGAAAAAAUUGUAAGAAAUGUACUUUUUUCUCUCACUCUUUUUAGAUGAAAAUGUAUUUUUUCCUCUUCCUACCAGAAACUGGUAUGUCCCUACCUACCAGACCCGUUAUGUCUGAAGACUACAGGGAUGAACGAAGGGGUGAAAUUUUGGGUACAAAGGCAAUUUUAUGCUAAAAAAUACUAAACAUUGCCUAAAGUUGAAAUAUCAGAAAAUGGCAGGACACUCUUAAGACCAGUCUUAAUGGUGUGACACUGUUGGGUUUAGUCACAGUUAUUUCCGUGCCUCAGGAGAUCCUAAAAUUAAAGACAUUUAAAAUAAUCACAGUUAUUACCUCCACCAUUCUGUUUUGAACAGUAAACAGUAUUAUUUGAUGACAGUCUCCUCUGAAGAAAGCUCUGCAGAAAGCCUCCACAAAGCUUGUAUGUCAACUGUGUAUCUGCCUGGGUGACCGUUUUAUGGUGAGUCAAUAGCCAGGUGCUGCUCCAGAGUUUCUCUGCCUCUGCCAGGACCGUCUUUAGAGUGCAUGGAUAACUGUCCACAGGCUGAUGAAGGACUUCACAAAACCUAUGCAAGAUUUUAUUAUUGUUAUUGAAUUACCUUUAAUAUAUCACUCAAGAAAUGUUCUCACAAGAAACAAAUUAGAAAUGCUGAAUUUUAGGAGAACCCUUUUUCCUGUGUGCACAGAGAUUACCUUUUGCCUCCUUUCCAGGAGUACUAAGUAUAAGCAACAUCUUUAAAAUCAACCCAAAUUUGAUUCAGCACACAGUGUCUUUGUAGCUCAGCUUUACAGAUGACACUAACAUCUGGAUGACCUCAUGAUGCUGUGGAAGUGGGUAGCAAUAUUACUUCAUUCUUGGUACUAUGUGGGCUUCUGCCAAACUCUCUUCUUGCAGCUCUUUACUAGUUCAUAGAGAUGGCAGGAAAAGAUGAGCUGAACGUUAUGAAUGUGGUAGUGAUAAGCUUGUAGAAGGCAAGGGAAGGUGAGAGAGCAAGCAGGAAAGACAAGUACUGGUGACUGGGAGGGAAUGUGAGGGGCCGAACAAAGGAGCAUGCUCAAAAAGCGCAGCACUCAGAGCAGAGUGCUCCUUCCCCAGUCCUACCACAGGGAAGAGGCUCGGCCCUGCUCGAGGGAUGGCUGCAGGCACCCACCAGCCACUGCUCCCCACCCCUGGCUCUCCUCUGGGCCACUCGGCCUGGGGUGGCCUUCAUGGCAGCUGCACCUCAUGAAUAUGCAAUCUGCUGCUACAUAUGUAGCAGACAAGUAAUUCCUCUUCAACCUUGUGGCUAUGCUGCUUUUCACUUUGGGGAAAAGCCUUGCCAAAACAGCUUUAAAACUGAAGAAAAACCUUUUCUUACAUGAAGCUUAAAAAAAAAAA
Molecule: long non-coding RNA, 4867 nt
Organism: Melopsittacus undulatus (budgerigar)
Lineage: Eukaryota; Metazoa; Chordata; Aves; Psittaciformes; Psittaculidae
Exons: 3
Source: RefSeq, a predicted model, not a curated record